Molecule: ribosomal RNA, 484 nt
Filed under: uncultured bacterium
Lineage: Bacteria
Description: partial 16S ribosomal RNA
Rfam family: Bacterial small subunit ribosomal RNA
Source: RNAcentral
AUUGAACGCUGGCGGCAUGCUUUACACAUGCGAGUCGAACGGCAGCGCGGGCUUCGGCCUGGCGGCGAGUGGCGAACGGGUGAGUAAUGCAUCGGAACGUGCCCAGUAGUGGGGGAUAGCCCGGCGAAAGCCGGAUUAAUACCGCAUACGACCUGAGGGUGAAAGCGGGGGACCGAAAGGCCUCGCGCUAUUGGAGCGGCCGAUGUCGGAUUAGCUAGUUGGUGGGGUAAAGGCUUACCAAGGCGACGAUCCGUAGCUGGUCUGAGAGGACGACCAGCCACACUGGAACUGAGACACGGCCCAGACUCCUACGGGAGGCAGCAGUGGGGAAUUUUGGACAAUGGGGGCAACCCUGAUCCAGCCAUGCCGCGUGCGGGAAGAAGGCCUUCGGGUUGUAAACCGCUUUUGUUCGGGAAGAAAACCUCUGGGCUAAUACCCCGGGGGGAUGACGGUACCGGAAGAAUAAGCACCGGCUAACUACGUG